Molecule: ribosomal RNA, 451 nt
Filed under: uncultured bacterium
Lineage: Bacteria
Description: bacterial SSU rRNA
Rfam family: Bacterial small subunit ribosomal RNA
Source: RNAcentral
GUGGGGAAUAUUGGACAAUGGGGGGAACCCUGAUCCAGCCAUGCCGCGUGUGUGAAGAAGGCCUUUUGGUUGUAAAGCACUUUAAGCGAGGAGGAGGCUACCGAGAUUAAUACUCUUGGAUAGUGGACGUUACUCGCAGAAUAAGCACCGGCUAACUCUGUGCCAGCAGCCGCGGUAAUACAGAGGGUGCGAGCGUUAAUCGGAGUUACUGGGCGUAAAGCGUGCGUAGGCGGCUUUUUAAGUCGGAUGUGAAAUCCCCGAGCUUAACGUGGGAAUUGCAUUCGAUACUGGGAAGCUAGAGUAUGGGAGAGGAUGGUAGAAUUCCAGGUGUAGCGGUGAAAUGCGUAGAGAACUGGAGGAAUACCGAUGGCGAAGGCAGCCAUCUGGCCUAAUACUGACGCUGAGGUACGAAAGCAUGGGGAGCAAACAGGAUUAGAUACCCCUGUAGUCC